CUGGACCAGUACACCGGAUCAGCCUCUGCCUCUCUGCAUUUUGUACUUUUGUCCCUAAGCAAAUAGAAAAAUAAAUCAUGGUUCUCUCAGCCACCACCUUCUUUCUAUAUUUACUAAAUUGAUUGAAAGAGACAGAGAUAUGAGGGUAGAUCAUCAUCUAAGCAAGAAACCAAAGAAAGAAUGGAAAUAGAUAAACAUAACAAGCUGAAAGAGGAGCAUCAUCUCUCUGGUGCUUACAUCCGUAGCCUAGUGAAGCAAUUAACCUCCUCAAGAACCAAAGACCCCAUGAAUCCAAAAGACCGUGGCUGUGUUGAUGAUUAUAGUUUUUCUGGCCAAAAUAUGACCAAAUUUGGUGAAGUUUUAAGUGAAAACCAACAAACCCGGCAACCCCAGCAACCUCAGCAGCACAAAAAACAGGUUAGGAGGAGACUCCAUACCAGUAAGCCUUACCAAGAAAGGCUUCUUAAUAUGGCUGAGGCUAGGAGAGAGAUUGUUGCUGCCCUAAAGUUCCAUAGGGCAUCUAUGAAACAAGCCAAUGAGCACCAACAGCAACAGCAACAGCAGCAGCAACAUCAACAAGACUACCACCAACAAUCUUCACUUCCAGUGCAGCUUUCCACCCCGCCAUGUUUUGAACAAGAGGGAAAGAUAAAAACCAGAAGGAAUCCCAGAAUAUAUCCAUCAAACAUGGCCAAUUUCUCUAAUUAUAUAGACACCCUUUCCUUCACUUCUUUCUCCCAUGCACCACCUUCUCCUCCAUAUCCUUUUUGCUGGUCUACUUCUCCAAAUCUUCCUUCAACUGUCACUGAUGAAAAUCUCAGUUUCCCCCUUCCAAAUCAAACCCUAGGCCUAAAUCUCAAUUUUCAAGAUUUUAACGACUUAGACACCACUAUUUACCACAGCAGCAACAACCCAUCAUCGGUUUACUCAUCCUCAUCUCCAUCAUCAUUCUCUUCUCCCUCCUCUUCUCUUUCCAUUGCCACUGAGGAAAUUGCUUCAGUUCGAAAAUCGCAAGAAGGGAUGCCUCCUGCAGUGUCUGACCUAACCGAAACUUAUGGUGGACGAGGCUUGCACCAAGUGAUGGAUGAUAAGGAGAUGGAAGAGAUCAGAUCAAUAGGAGAACAACAUCAGAUGGAAUGGAAUGAUACCAUGAAUUUGGUCACAUCAGCAUGGUGGUUCAAAUUCUUGAAGACCAUGGAAACUAGUCCAGAAGUGAAGACAGAGGAUGAUGGUUAUCACCCAUUCGAUCAGAUGAUUGAAUUCCCAGCCUGGUUGAAUGCAAAUGAUCUAUGUUUGCAGCAACAUUUUGAUGAUUACUGCUCCCAAGACUAUUACCAUGAUCCUGCCCUGCCUUGCAUGGACAUUGGAGAAAUUGAAAGCAUGGAUGGGAAAUGGCUAGCUUGACAAGGAUUGAUUGUUUUUUGUUAAUCAAAUCUUUGGCUCUUUGUUCUUUUUUGAUCUCCCAUUAAUCUUCUUUUUUUUUUUUUUUUUUUGAGCUAGUCUCUUAGAUGCUUUUUGAUUUAAUAAGGCCUGCAAGGAUUUUGAUGUUGGAAGACAGGCCACCAUGCACAUCAAGGAAAAAUAAUAACUAAGGAAAAGCUGCAUAUCUUUGCAUGCUAUUUAGCACGCUGAAGAGUGCAUUUGCUUCAUUACUAGCAAUUCCAAUGGUGGGAAAGUGGCAACUGCCUCUGAUACUUCAUAUCACUACUACAAUGCCUUUCGUUUAAACAUUUACUGUAAAGCAUUCAAGGAAUUAGCCAUCAACUCUGCUUCCUGUUGUUGAACAGGGUGAUCAUGACUACUCAUGAAAGUUGCAAUUUGAUUGGAGAAAGUUUUCUUGGAAGCUAAAAGCAAAAAAAUGAAAAGACUUCGCCAACUUUUUACCCCUCAA
RNA transcript from Hevea brasiliensis (rubber tree), 1891 nucleotides. RefSeq lists it as uncharacterized. The transcript has 3 exons. NCBI's taxonomy places the organism in Eukaryota, Viridiplantae, Streptophyta, Magnoliopsida, Malpighiales, Euphorbiaceae. The record is from RefSeq and is a predicted model, not a curated record.